CCUACGGGAGGCAGCAGUGGGGGAUAUUGCACAAUGGGGGGAACCCUGAUGCAGCGACGCCGCGUGGGCGAUGGAGUGCUUCGGCGUGUAAAGCCCUAUCAGCAGGGAAGAAAAUGACGGUACCUGACUAAGAAGCCCCGGCUAAAUACGUGCCAGCAGCCGCGGUAAUACGUAUGGGGCAAGCGUUAUCCGGAUUUACUGGGUGUAAAGGGGGCGGAGGCGGCCUGGCAAGCCUGAUGUGAAAUACCGGGGCCCAACCCCGGGGCUGCAUUGGGAACUGCCAGGCUGGAGUGCAGGAGAGGCAGGCGGAAUUCCUAGUGUAGCGGUGAAAUGCGUAGAUAUUAGGAGGAACACCAGUGGCGAAGGCGGCCUGCUGGACGGUGACUGACGCUGAGGCUCGAAAGCGUGGGGAGCAAACAGGAUUAGAUACCCCAGUAGUC
This 440-nucleotide ribosomal RNA is filed under the name uncultured bacterium. RNAcentral describes it as "partial 16S ribosomal RNA". It matches the Rfam family "Bacterial small subunit ribosomal RNA", at positions 338 to 795 of the family's 1533-position model. The record is from RNAcentral.